This 240-nucleotide long non-coding RNA is filed under the name Elaeis guineensis (African oil palm). Its description in RNAcentral is "long non-coding RNA (EGUI_LNC021578)". Lineage: Eukaryota; Viridiplantae; Streptophyta; Magnoliopsida; Arecales; Arecaceae. The record is from RNAcentral.
UGUGACGAAAACUUUCGUAAUGGCUAGUUUUUAGUUCUUUUUGACAGUAUUUAAUGCUCUUUUAAUGAUCUCCAACGACUCUAUUUCAGCCCAGAUUUAUCUCUACUAUCUAUUGAAGCUAUAAAGACACUUAAAGGAGGAAAAAAGAAAAAAAAAUUUUUAAGCAUUCAUUUCACCCCUAAGCAAAAAGACCUCUUCAAGCAAAAGAAGCUUUCAAUUCAAGUUUACCAACCCCUCAAG